GCCCCCUUAGUUUAACGGUUAGAACAUGGGUCUCAUAAUCCCAAGAUAUGAGUUCGAUUCUCAUAGGAGGCA
RNAcentral lists this transfer RNA (72 nucleotides) under Cladosporium sphaerospermum UM 843. RNAcentral's name for it is "tRNA-Met (CAT) (tRNA-Met-CAT-1-1)". It matches the Rfam family "tRNA". From Rfam's summary of the family: Transfer RNA (tRNA) molecules are approximately 80 nucleotides in length. Their secondary structure includes four short double-helical elements and three loops (D, anti-codon, and T loops). Further hydrogen bonds mediate the characteristic L-shaped molecular structure. tRNAs have two regions of fundamental functional importance: the anti-codon, which is responsible for specific mRNA codon recognition, and the 3' end, to which the tRNAs corresponding amino acid is attached (by aminoacyl-tRNA synthetases). tRNAs cope with the degeneracy of the genetic code in two manners: having more than one tRNA (with a specific anti-codon) for a particular amino acid; and 'wobble' base-pairing, i.e. permitting non-standard base-pairing at the 3rd anti-codon position. The record is from RNAcentral. Lineage: Eukaryota; Fungi; Ascomycota; Dothideomycetes; Cladosporiales; Cladosporiaceae.